This 385-nucleotide unclassified non-coding RNA is filed under the name soil metagenome. Its description in RNAcentral is "partial contains 5.8S ribosomal RNA, internal transcribed spacer 2, and large subunit ribosomal RNA". The stretch from base 5 to 121 matches the Rfam family "5.8S ribosomal RNA", at positions 40 to 154 of the family's 154-position model. The record is from RNAcentral.
GAUGAGAACGUAGCGAAAUGCGAUAAGUAAUGUGAAUUGCAGAAUUCAGUGAAUCAUCGAAUCUUUGAACGCACCUUGCACCCUUUGGACUGCUCCAAAGGGUAUGCUCGUUUGAGUGUCAUUGUACUCUCACACUCUCUGAUCCUUUGGAUUUGGGGAGCGGUGGACUUGGGUGCUUGCUGCUUCCUUGUGGCUCACCUGAAAUGCAUCAGUGCAUCUCUCGAUUGGACAUAGCACGGCGUGAUAAGUGUCUUCGCCGGCACCUCAUAUGAGGGUGGCCGAUCGGGAGCUCUGUGCUUUCAAACCGUCUUCGGACAACGCUGACAACUUGACCUCAAAUCGAGUAGGACUACCCGCUGAACUUAAGCAUAUCAAUAAGCGAGGA